GCAGUCGAACGGCAGCACGGGGGCAACCCCGGUGGCGAGUGGCGAACGGGUGAGUAAUAUAUCGGAACGUGCCCUGGAGUGGGGGAUAACUAGUCGAAAGACUAGCUAAUACCGCAUACGAUCUACGGAUGAAAGUGGGGGAUCGCAAGACCUCAUGCUCGUGGAGCGGCCGAUAUCUGAUUAGCUAGUUGGUAGGGUAAAAGCCUACCAAGGCAUCGAUCAGUAGCUGGUCUGAGAGGACGACCAGCCACACUGGGACUGAGACACGGCCCAGACUCCUACGGGAGGCAGCAGUGGGGAAUUUUGGACAAUGGGGGCAACCCUGAUCCAGCAAUGCCGCGUGAGUGAAGAAGGCCUUCGGGUUGUAAAGCUCUUUUGUCAGGGAAGAAACGGUCCGGGCUAAUAUCCUGGGCUAAUGACGGUACCUGAAGAAUAAGCACCGGCUAACUACGUGCCAGCAGCCGCGGUAAUACGUAGGGUGCAAGCGUUAAUCGGAAUUACUGGGCGUAAAGCGUGCGCAGGCGGUUGUGCAAGACAGAUGUGAAAUCCCCGGGCUUAACCUGGGAAUUGCAUUUGUGACUGUACGGCUAGAGUGUGUCAGAGGGGGGUAGAAUUCCACGUGUAGCAGUGAAAUGCGUAAAGAUGGUGGAGGAAUACCGAUGGCGAAGGCAGCCCCUGGGAUAACACUGACGCUCAUG
Molecule: ribosomal RNA, 698 nt
Filed under: uncultured bacterium
Lineage: Bacteria
Description: bacterial SSU rRNA
Rfam family: Bacterial small subunit ribosomal RNA
Source: RNAcentral